UACAANCAACAAUCNGCCAGNGAACUACAAGUGACAAACUUUAAACUCUAAGGACCUGGCGGUAUCCCACUCGUACUAGAGGAGCCUGUCCUGUAAUCGAUACUCCACGCUGCACCUUACCCCCCCUUGCAACCCCAAUCUAUAUACCGCCGUCGCCAGCUCACAAUGUGAAUGCACCACCGUGAGCAAAAUAAUUAAACCAUAAAAACGACAGGUCAAGGUGUAGUUUACGGGGGGGGGAGAGAUGGGCUACAUUUUCUCCACCAGAAAAUACCACCCGCACCGUGAAACCUACGCUCACAGGCGGAUUUANAAGUAAGCCUGGCAAGACNUGCCAACCUGAAAAAGCUCUGGGAUG
Molecule: ribosomal RNA, 358 nt
Filed under: Pristurus rupestris rupestris
Lineage: Eukaryota; Metazoa; Chordata; Lepidosauria; Squamata; Sphaerodactylidae
Description: partial 12S ribosomal RNA
Rfam family: Bacterial small subunit ribosomal RNA
Source: RNAcentral